GCUCCCAUAGUUUAGUUGGUUAGAACAUUUGUCUCAUAGCUUCAUAAGUAGUGUGACAUCAGAAGAUCGUGAGUUCGAACCUCACUGGGAGCA
This is a transfer RNA of 93 nucleotides. It matches the Rfam family "tRNA". Rfam says of the family: Transfer RNA (tRNA) molecules are approximately 80 nucleotides in length. Their secondary structure includes four short double-helical elements and three loops (D, anti-codon, and T loops). Further hydrogen bonds mediate the characteristic L-shaped molecular structure. tRNAs have two regions of fundamental functional importance: the anti-codon, which is responsible for specific mRNA codon recognition, and the 3' end, to which the tRNAs corresponding amino acid is attached (by aminoacyl-tRNA synthetases). tRNAs cope with the degeneracy of the genetic code in two manners: having more than one tRNA (with a specific anti-codon) for a particular amino acid; and 'wobble' base-pairing, i.e. permitting non-standard base-pairing at the 3rd anti-codon position. The record is from Rfam.